AGAGUUUGAUCCUGGCUCAGGAUGAACGCUGGCGGCGUGCCUAACACAUGCAAGUCGAACGUGAGGGGAUACUUGUAUUCCUGAAAGUGGCGAACGGGUGAGUAGCACGUUGGUGACCUGCCCCGAAGCGGGGGAUAACUCUGGGAAACCAGAGCUAAUACCCCAGAUGUUUAAGGGUUUAGACGCCUUAAACUAAAGUUCUCGGAUGCUUUGGGAGGGGCCUGCGGGCUAUCAGCUAGUUGGUGGGGUAAAGGCCUACCAAGGCGAAGACGGCUAGGGGGCGUGAGAGCGUGACCCCCCACAAGGGAACUGAGAAACGGUCCCUACUCCUACGGGAGGCAGCAGUGAGGAAUAUUGAGCAAUGGGCGCAAGCCUGACUCAGCAACGCCGCGUGGAUGAUGACGGCCUUCGGGUUGUAAAAUCCUUUUCUGAGGGAAGAUAAUGACGGUACCUCAGGAAUAAGUUCCGGCUAACUACGUGCCAGCCGCCGCGGUAAUUC
RNAcentral lists this ribosomal RNA (499 nucleotides) under uncultured bacterium. RNAcentral describes it as "bacterial SSU rRNA". It matches the Rfam family "Bacterial small subunit ribosomal RNA", at positions 8 to 526 of the family's 1533-position model. The record is from RNAcentral.